This 1540-nucleotide ribosomal RNA is filed under the name Salmonella enterica subsp. enterica serovar Anatum. RNAcentral's name for it is "partial 23S ribosomal RNA". It matches the Rfam family "Bacterial large subunit ribosomal RNA", at positions 1217 to 2739 of the family's 2925-position model. Lineage: Bacteria; Pseudomonadati; Pseudomonadota; Gammaproteobacteria; Enterobacterales; Enterobacteriaceae. The record is from RNAcentral.
UGUGUUGUUGGGUAGGGGAGCGUUCUGUAAGCCUGUGAAGGUGUGUCGUGAGGCAUGCUGGAGGUAUCAGAAGUGCGAAUGCUGACAUAAGUAACGAUAAAGCGGGUGAAAAGCCCGCUCGCCGGAAGACCAAGGGUUCCUGUCCAACGUUAAUCGGGGCAGGGUGAGUCGACCCCUAAGGCGAGGCCGAAAGGCGUAGUCGAUGGGAAACGGGUUAAUAUUCCCGUACUUGGUGUUACUGCGAAGGGGGGACGGAGAAGGCUAUGUUGGCCGGGCGACGGUUGUCCCGGUUUAAGCGUGUAGGUGUGUGUUCCAGGUAAAUCCGGUUCACUUUAACACUGAGGCGUGACGACGAGGCACUACGGUGCUGAAGCAACAAAUGCCCUGCUUCCAGGAAAAGCCUCUAAGCAUCAGGUAACACGAAAUCGUACCCCAAACCGACACAGGUGGUCAGGUAGAGAAUACCAAGGCGCUUGAGAGAACUCGGGUGAAGGAACUAGGCAAAAUGGUGCCGUAACUUCGGGAGAAGGCACGCUGACACGUAGGUGAAGUGAUUUACUCAUGGAGCUGAAGUCAGUCGAAGAUACCAGCUGGCUGCAACUGUUUAUUAAAAACACAGCACUGUGCAAACACGAAAGUGGACGUAUACGGUGUGACGCCUGCCCGGUGCCGGAAGGUUAAUUGAUGGGGUCAGCGCAAGCGAAGCUCCUGAUCGAAGCCCCGGUAAACGGCGGCCGUAACUAUAACGGUCCUAAGGUAGCGAAAUUCCUUGUCGGGUAAGUUCCGACCUGCACGAAUGGCGUAAUGAUGGCCAGGCUGUCUCCACCCGAGACUCAGUGAAAUUGAACUCGCUGUGAAGAUGCAGUGUACCCGCGGCAAGACGGAAAGACCCCGUGAACCUUUACUAUAGCUUGACACUGAACAUUGAGCCUUGAUGUGUAGGAUAGGUGGGAGGCUUUGAAGUGUGGACGCCAGUCUGCAUGGAGCCGACCUUGAAAUACCACCCUUUAAUGUUUGAUGUUCUAACGUGGACCCGUGAUCCGGGUUGCGGACAGUGUCUGGUGGGUAGUUUGACUGGGGCGGUCUCCUCCUAAAGAGUAACGGAGGAGCACGAAGGUUGGCUAAUCCUGGUCGGACAUCAGGAGGUUAGUGCAAUGGCAUAAGCCAGCUUGACUGCGAGCGUGACGGCGCGAGCAGGUGCGAAAGCAGGUCAUAGUGAUCCGGUGGUUCUGAAUGGAAGGGCCAUCGCUCAACGGAUAAAAGGUACUCCGGGGAUAACAGGCUGAUACCGCCCAAGAGUUCAUAUCGACGGCGGUGUUUGGCACCUCGAUGUCGGCUCAUCACAUCCUGGGGCUGAAGUAGGUCCCAAGGGUAUGGCUGUUCGCCAUUUAAAGUGGUACGCGAGCUGGGUUUAGAACGUCGUGAGACAGUUCGGUCCCUAUCUGCCGUGGGCGCUGGAGAACUGAGGGGGGCUGCUCCUAGUACGAGAGGACCGGAGUGGACGCAUCACUGGUGUUCGGGUUGUCAUGCCAAUGGCACU